UAGGGAAUCUUCGGCAAUGGACGGAAGUCUGACCGAGCAACGCCGCGUGAGUGAAGAAGGUUUUCGGAUCGUAAAGCUCUGUUGUAAGAGAAGAACGAGUGUGAGAGUGGAAAGUUCACACUGUGACGGUAUCUUACCAGAAAGGGACGGCUAACUAUGUGCCAGCAGCCGCGGUAAUACGUAGGUCCCGAGCGUUGUCCGGAUUUAUUGGGCGUAAAGCGAGCGCAGGCGGUUAGAUAAGUCUGAAGUUAAAGGCUGUGGCUUAACCAUAGUACGCUUUGGAAACUGUUUAACUUGAGUGCAAGAGGGGAGAGUGGAAUUCCAUGUGUAGCGGUGAAAUGCGUAGAUAUAUGGAGGAACACCGGUGGCGAAAGCGGCUCUCUGGCUUGUAACUGACGCUGAGGCUCGAAAGCGUGGGGAGCAAACAGGGUUAGAUACCCUGGUAGUCCACGCCGUAACGAUGAGUGCUAGGUGUUAGACCCUUUCCGGGGUUUAGUGUCGCAGCUAACGCAUUAAGCACUCCGCCUGGGGAGUACGACCGCAAGGUU
Molecule: ribosomal RNA, 548 nt
Filed under: uncultured bacterium
Lineage: Bacteria
Description: bacterial SSU rRNA
Rfam family: Bacterial small subunit ribosomal RNA
Source: RNAcentral